Sycon ciliatum is the source of this 1196-nucleotide long non-coding RNA. RefSeq lists it as uncharacterized. The transcript has 2 exons. The record is from RefSeq and is a predicted model, not a curated record. Lineage: Eukaryota; Metazoa; Porifera; Calcarea; Leucosolenida; Sycettidae.
UACCAUAUACUGGUGUUCACUCUGACUUCUUGGCGAUGGUGUGCGACUAGAGACAGCCAAAAGCGCGCUUUCUUCUCGCUAGUUGUGCUCCGCGUUUCAUUAGAACAUUGUUGGAAAGCAACACACAACAAGGUCUGAACAGUGCGGGUUGCGUCUUGAGCCUUCCCUACCUGGCUCUCAGCUUGCUGCAGUGAAAGAGAUUUCGGCACUGUGUUCAAGUUUAUUGACUGGUGAGCGCCGCACACAAGCUAGCUACAGAGAUGGCGGAGGAGGAGUUCUUUGACCUGCAUAUGGCCUGUCCAGUUCCAACAUGUCCCAACCAACAAGACAAAAAGGGUGUCAAGCUGGACUGGACAAGCACAUCAUGCGAAGGAAAGAUGCAGAUUGGACAGAAGGGCAACUUGCGCUGCGUGCACCACGCAACGCGUCCCUGUGUCCACGGCCCAAUGGCUUCCUUCAGAUUCGACUGUGGCCUGCGUGGAGAAAAUUCGCCUCAUAGCAUCGACGAGCCCUUCCUUCCAGCGGAUCGCCAGUCAUUAACUCACGCCGUUAGUGUCGGGCUUUCAAUGGAAUAUUUAGGUUAUAAUGAUUUGGCGUGGGUGCAGGAACUACUUAGGUCUCUAUUCGCACAGGUUCAAAACCAAUAACAUGGCUGUGUCCAAAUUGCACCGACACGUUUCGUACAAAGUAGGGUUACUCGUCUGUUCACACGCAUCUAUCUAUGUAUGUAGUAUCAAUCUAUGAGUGUGACCUACACGUCCAUUGUAGUGUGUACCUGCUGUGAGCUUUGGUCCCAGGACUUGUAUUUUUGUUGUUUUUUUGGUGUGUUGCAUUAUGCUUCACCUCAUCAGCACAGCCUUUCGAUGCCUUCUUUUAAAAUUCCUCCUUUUGCCUGAAUCUUGCGAUCCAGCUUGCAUUACAUAUUUCACAUACUGCAUUUAGUACUCUUCCACUUAUAAUUAUAUCGUUGUUAAUUGCUAGAUUUCAGUAUUGAGACGUAUUUUCCCUGAUUUAUGUCUCCAGAAAACUUUUUAUCCAUCUUUUAUUUUUGUUCAUGACUACGUCCAAUGUCCGCUUCGCUGAUUCUGCUUAUUGCCUUAUUAUCAGUUACUUGCACAUGUACAUGAAUUACAUUCAGGACGGGUAUCCUUGUGAAGUUCAAUAACCCAAUGAUUAUGAUUGUAUGGAAUAGGCUA